This 71-nucleotide transfer RNA is filed under the name Parazen pacificus (parazen). Its description in RNAcentral is "tRNA-Gln". It matches the Rfam family "tRNA". Rfam says of the family: Transfer RNA (tRNA) molecules are approximately 80 nucleotides in length. Their secondary structure includes four short double-helical elements and three loops (D, anti-codon, and T loops). The record is from RNAcentral. Lineage: Eukaryota; Metazoa; Chordata; Actinopteri; Zeiformes; Parazenidae.
UAGGAAGUGGUGUAGUGGAAGCACUUAGAGUUUUGAUCUCUAGAGGGUGGGUUCGAGUCCCCCUUUCCUAA